RNAcentral lists this ribosomal RNA (278 nucleotides) under uncultured prokaryote. RNAcentral's name for it is "partial 16S ribosomal RNA". It matches the Rfam family "Bacterial small subunit ribosomal RNA", at positions 524 to 801 of the family's 1533-position model. The record is from RNAcentral.
UACGUAGGGUGCGAGCGUUGUUCGGAAUUAUUGGGUGUAAAGGGCGUCUAGGCGGGAGAUUAAGUUAGAUGUGAAAGGCGUGGGCUUAACCCACGAAUUGCAUCUAAAACUGGUUUUCUUGAGUUCGGGAGAGGAGAGCGGAAUUCUUGGUGUAGCGGUGAAAUGCGUAGAUAUCAAGAAGAACACCAGUGGCGAAGGCGGCUCUCUGGCCUAGAAUUGACGCUGAAGCGCGAAAGCGUGGGUAGCGAACGGGAUUAGAUACCCCCGUAGUCCCUGAG